ACUCCUACGGGAGGCAGCAGUGGGGAAUAUUGGACAAUGGGCGCAAGCCUGAUCCAGCAAUACCGCGUGUGUGAAGAAGGCCUUCGGGUUGUAAAGCACUUUUAUAUGGGAAGAAGUGUGGUGUGUUAAUAGCACAUUGCAUUGACGGUACCAUAGGAAUAAGCACCGGCUAACUCCGUGCCAGCAGCCGCGGUAAUACGGAGGGUGCGAGCGUUAAUCGGAAUUACUGGGCGUAAAGGGUACGUAGGCGGCUUGAUAAGUCAGAUGUGAAAUCCCGGCUAGCCUAGGCAGCAUGCAUUGAACUGAUUGUAGCUAGAGUGAGUGAGAGGUUAGUGGAAUUCAAGGCGUAGCGGUGAAAUGCGUAGAGGUCUUGAGGAACAUCAGUGGCGAAGGCGACUGACUGGCACUACACUGACGCUGAGGUACGAAAGCGUGGGGAGCGAACAGGAUUAGAUACCCUGGUAGGCUCU
Molecule: ribosomal RNA, 470 nt
Filed under: uncultured bacterium
Lineage: Bacteria
Description: bacterial SSU rRNA
Rfam family: Bacterial small subunit ribosomal RNA
Source: RNAcentral